GCUUGCAACAAUAAAAACACGACGAAAUGGGAUCCAAGUCAAUUAUCUGCAUCCUACUUUUCGCGGCCUUUUACACUUUGACUAUUGCCUACAAUAAAGAGAGAUGCAAUGCUCCCCCCAGUGUUACAGGGAAUUGCAAGGCUCAUCUCGCCAGGUGGGUCUUCAAGGAUAAAAAAUGCCAGCGAAUUGUUUAUAGCGGAUGUGGAGCCACUCCAAAUAUAUUUUUAUUUAAAUAUAAAUGCAAAAGAGAUUGCCUGAGUAAAAAGUCAAAGCACAAACAUAAGGACCACAAAAACAAAAAAGACAAACACACAAGCAAACACAAUAAAAGUAAACAUGAAAACAAAACAACAACACCGAAAACAACCACAACAAAAAAAGCAUAAGAGUAAAACUAGUUAAAAAUGUAACCUAAAUGUUAAAAAAAUUGUUAUUAUUUAUACAAUAGUAAUCAGUUUAGUUACAGUUAAAUUCAAAUAUCGAGCCUAUCUGUGAGAUAAGGUCUUUUAAGCCACAAAUAUAGGAACUACUUAGUGACUUGGGAAAAGUGCUACACAAUGGACUACAAACUAAUAAACAUUGCUCUAGACUUCCUCUUCUUUUUUAAUUUGUCGAUUGCCUAUAAUAAAAGGAAGUGUGAUGCCCCUCCGAGCAAACCUGGAUACUGCAUGGCAGAUCUUCCCCGGUGGGUUUUUAAGGACAACAAAUGUCAGGAAAUCUUAUAUGGCGGAUGUGGAGGCACUCCGAAUCUGUUCGAUUUUAAAUAUCAAUGCGAAGUAGCUUGCGAUGUUCCUAAGUUACCAAAUCAUCCUUAUGGGGAGCACUCGUUUAUAAAAUGUCGAUCAAAUAAGAAUUGAACAUGAUUCUAUUUCAUAAGUCAAACAUGAUCCCCAAAAUUAGGGCUGAAUACAAAAAGUAUUUGGAAAUGAGAACCUAAAUCUGAAACAGUUGUAACUAUUACACAACAAACAUUAAAUUUAACAUUUAAACAUUA
This is a long non-coding RNA of Drosophila biarmipes, 994 nucleotides long. RefSeq lists it as uncharacterized. Lineage: Eukaryota; Metazoa; Arthropoda; Insecta; Diptera; Drosophilidae. The transcript has 3 exons. The record is from RefSeq and is a predicted model, not a curated record.